Molecule: ribosomal RNA, 1011 nt
Filed under: Triticum aestivum (bread wheat)
Lineage: Eukaryota; Viridiplantae; Streptophyta; Magnoliopsida; Poales; Poaceae
Description: partial small subunit ribosomal RNA
Source: RNAcentral
AUGGCGGCGGCACCACAUCACCUGCUCUAUGAAUUCGCCAAGGCUGCACUUAUCAAGAUAUUUGCAUUUCCUUAUGCCACGGUCUGCGACAUGUACUGCAACGGCGGAGCUGAUACAGAAAAGUGGGCCGAUGCCCAAGCCGGUCGCUACAUAGGAAUUGACGCUUCUGCGUCAGCUGUCAGUAGCGACGACCGUGAACUGUGGGAGAACAAAUGGAAACCUUUCACCACUGAGUUCAUCGAGUUGAAUCCUUCUGCUGAUGACUUUGAAGCUCAGUUGCAAGAAAAGGGCAUCCAAGCAGAUAUAGUUUGCUGCAUGCAGAAUUUACAGUUAUGCUUUGAAAGUGAGGAACACGCAAAGAAGCUUCUCAAUAACGUAUCAUCCUUGCUCAAACCUGGAGGUUAUUUCUUUGGCAUAAUUCCUGAUUCAUCCACAAUAUGGACUAAAUAUCAAAAGAAUGUUGAGGCUUCACAUAAUAAGGGUCUGAAGGUUGUUCCAAAUAGCAUCCGCUCUGACAACUACACAAUUACCUUCGAAAUUGAGGAAGAAAAGUUUCCUUUCUUCGGAAAGAAGUACCAACUCAAAUUUGCAAAUGAAGCGAUGGUUGAGAAUCAUUGCCUGGUCCACUUUCCCAGCCUUAUGAGAUUAGCAAGGGAGGCUGGACUUGAAUAUGUGGAGAUCCAGAACUUAACUGAGUUUUAUGAUGACAACAGAACACAGUUUGCUCCAAUGCUUGGUAGUUGUGGUGCCAAUUUGGUUGACCCUCGUGGAAAGCUCAUUGCUCGUUCCUAUGAUAUUUUAGGCCUGUAUUCGACUUUUGUAUUCCAGAAGCCUGACCCAGAUGCAAUACCACCCGUUGUAACACCUGACCCAGAUGAAGAGCAGGAGCGGCUCUGGAGGCAGCAGGCGGCAGCGGAUGAUUUGAGGCGCCCACAGUCAGAGGUGAUUCCAAUAGACCCUGAUCAGAAAGGGAUCCUGGGCCCAGGACCUGCAGAUAUGAGGCUUAAUUAG